GGCCGUGUGGCGAAAUGGCAUCGCGUCUGACUACGAUUGAGCACCCUUGUUGCUUGGUAUUGGAAUCAGGAGAUUGCAGGUUCGACCCCUGUCUCGGUCA
This 100-nucleotide transfer RNA is filed under the name Hypsizygus marmoreus. It matches the Rfam family "tRNA". Rfam says of the family: Transfer RNA (tRNA) molecules are approximately 80 nucleotides in length. Their secondary structure includes four short double-helical elements and three loops (D, anti-codon, and T loops). Lineage: Eukaryota; Fungi; Basidiomycota; Agaricomycetes; Agaricales; Lyophyllaceae. The record is from Rfam by way of RNAcentral.